UACGUAGGGGGGCUAGCGUUGUCCGGAUUUAUUGGGCGUAAAGAGCGUGUAGGCGGCCAGAUAGGUCUGCUGUGAAAACUCGAGGCUCAACCUCGAGAUGUCGGCGGAAACCAUUUGGCUAGAGUCCGGAAGAGGAAAGUGGAAUUCCUGGUGUAGCGGUGAAAUGCGCAGAUAUCAGGAAGAACACCCGUGGCGAAGGCGGCUUUCUGGGACGGUACUGACGCUGAGGCUCGAAAGCGUGGGGGAGCGAACAGG
This 255-nucleotide ribosomal RNA is filed under the name uncultured bacterium. RNAcentral describes it as "partial 16S ribosomal RNA". It matches the Rfam family "Bacterial small subunit ribosomal RNA", at positions 524 to 776 of the family's 1533-position model. The record is from RNAcentral.